CCUUUAAAGAAAGCGUAAUAGCUCACUAGUCGAGUCGGCCUGCGCGGAAGAUAUACCGGGGCUCAAACUGAUAACCGAAGCUGUGGGCGCAUAUUUAUAUGCGCGGUAGAGGAGCGUUCUGUAAGCCGUUGAAGGUGGAUCGUAAGGUCUGCUGGAGGUAUCAGAAGUGCGAAUGCUGACAUGAGUAGCGAUAAAGGGGGUGAAAAGCCCCCUCGCCGAAAGCCCAAGGUUUCCUGCUCAACGUUCAUCGGAGCAGGGUGAGUCGGCCCCUAAGGCGAGGGCGAAAGCCGUAGUCGAUGGGAAUCUGGUUAAUAUUCCAGAACCACCAUGUAAUGCGAUGGGGUGACGGAGAAGGUUAGGCAAACCGGGUGUUGGAUGUCCCGGUGAAGUGUGUAGGCGGAGCUCUUAGGCAAAUCCGGGAGCUCAUUAACGCUGAGGCACGGGACCAGCGAAGCUUGCUUCGUGAAGUUGCUAAUACCAUGCUUCCAAGAAAAACCUCUAAGCUUCAGUUACAUGGGACCGUACCGUAAACCGACACAGGUGGGCGGGAUGAGAAUUCUAAGGCGCUUGAGAGAACUCAGGAGAAGGAACUCGGCAAAUUGACACCGUAACUUCGGAAGAAGGUGUGCCCUGUUAGGGUGAAGGGACUUGCUCCCGGAGCUCGAGAGGGUUUCAGAGAAUCGGUGGCUGCGACUGUUUAUUAAAAACAUAGCACUGUGCUAACACGAAGAGUGGACGUAUACGGUGUGACGCCUGCCCGGUGCUGGAAGGUUAAAUGAUGGGGUGCAAGCUCUUGAUUGAAGCCCCAGUAAACGGCGGCCGUAACUAUAACGGUCCUAAGGUAGCGAAAUUCCUUGUCGGGUAAGUUCCGACCUGCACGAAUGGCGUAACGAUGGCCACACUGUCUCCUCCUGAGACUCAGCGAAGUUGACAUGGUUGUGAUGAUGCAAUCUACCCGCGGCUAGACGGAAAGACCCCGUGCACCUUUACUGCAGCUUUGCAUUGGACUGUGAUGGAAUUUGUGUAGGAUAGCUGGGAGGCUAUGAAGAGUAGACGCUAGUUUGCUUGGAGCCAUCCUUGAAAUACCAGCCUGAUUGUAUUGCGGUUCUAACCUAGGUCCCUUAUCGGGAUCGGGGACCAUGCAUGGUAGGCAGUUUGACUGGGGCGGUCUCCUCCCAAAGAGUAACGGAGGAGUUCGAAGGUUCGCUAGGUACGGUCGGACAUCGUACUGAUAGUGCAUUGGCAUAAGCGAGCUUGACUGCGAGACUGACGGGUCGAGCAGGUGCGAAAGCAGGACAAAGUGAUCCGGUGGUUCUGAAUGGAAGGGCCAUCGCUCAACGGAUAAAAGGUACGC
This 1354-nucleotide ribosomal RNA is filed under the name seawater metagenome. RNAcentral describes it as "bacterial LSU rRNA". It matches the Rfam family "Bacterial large subunit ribosomal RNA", at positions 1120 to 2468 of the family's 2925-position model. The record is from RNAcentral.